CGCUGCAGCUACUGCGGACGCUGGCCAAGUCGCAUCAGAGCCACAUUUUGCAGGCGGGAGGGGUACAGUGCGUGGUGGACCUAUUGAGACGUGCCCCAACUGAGGCGUGGGUGCAGGAGGUUGGGCUCACGGUGCUGUGGCUGUC
RNAcentral lists this ribosomal RNA (145 nucleotides) under Pyramimonas parkeae. RNAcentral's name for it is "partial Bacterial small subunit ribosomal RNA". Lineage: Eukaryota; Viridiplantae; Chlorophyta; Pyramimonadophyceae; Pyramimonadales; Pyramimonadaceae. The record is from RNAcentral.